RNAcentral lists this ribosomal RNA (681 nucleotides) under uncultured Ascomycota. RNAcentral describes it as "LSU rRNA". It matches the Rfam family "Eukaryotic large subunit ribosomal RNA", at positions 550 to 1236 of the family's 3401-position model. Lineage: Eukaryota; Fungi; Ascomycota. The record is from RNAcentral.
AGCUGUUUUCGGGCAGUGUUAUAGGGCAGGUGGAAUGCAACCAGCCUGGACUGAGGUCCGCGCAUCUGCUAGGAUGCUGGCGUAAUGGUUGUAAGCGGCCCGUCUUGAAACACGGACCAAGGAGUCUAACAUCUAUGCGAGUGUUUGGGUGUCAAGCCCGAGCGCGUAAUGAAAGUGAACGGAGGUGGGAACCUUUUAGGUGCACCAUCGACCGAUCCUGAUGUCUUCGGAUGGAUUUGAGUAAGAGCAUAGCUGUUGGGACCCGAAAGAUGGUGAACUAUGCCUGAAUAGGGUGAAGCCAGAGGAAACUCUGGUGGAGGCUCGCAGCGGUUCUGACGUGCAAAUCGAUCGUCAAAUUUGGGCAUAGGGGCGAAAGACUAAUCGAACUAUCUAGUAGCUGGUUCCUGCCGAAGUUUCCCUCAGGAUAGCAGUAACGUUUUCAGUUUUAUGAGGUAAAGCGAAUGAUUAGAGGCCUGGGGGUUGAAGCAACCUUCACCUAUUCUCAAACUUUAAAUAUGUAAGAAGUCCUUGUUUCUUAAUUGAACGUGGACAUUUGAAUGUAUCGUUACUAGUGGGCCAUUUUUGGUAAGCAGAACUGGCGAUGCGGGAUGAACCGAACGCGGGGUUAAGGUGCCAGAAUGCACGCUCAUCAGACACCACAAAAGGUGUUAGUUCAUCUAG